Molecule: unclassified non-coding RNA, 949 nt
Filed under: Melitaea cinxia (Glanville fritillary)
Lineage: Eukaryota; Metazoa; Arthropoda; Insecta; Lepidoptera; Nymphalidae
Description: misc RNA ENSMCXG00005014222.1
Source: RNAcentral
UUUGCUUAUGAGUACAAGUAGAUGAAGUUAGUUGAAUAAUGUACAUUGUACAAAUUUUCUUCGCGGCAUUGAUAUGCACUUGAUGACGUUUCACCUACAGUAAUAGUUGACGAGAGUUUAAUUCCAAACCAACCUCCAUCUUUGACACAGCGCGCCGUCGGAAAGUUUCUGCAGCCUCUAACGAAACAGUUGGUUGAAGUACCACCUAGAAACAAUUGCCUGAAUAUUGUCGAAGAUGUAAUCAAAAUUUUUCCACUGAAAAAGGACCAGCUCAGACGAGUUUCACUACGAAGACAACGCAAAAGCGAUGGAAAUAUUACCCAGACCUUACUGCUAAGUUGUCUUCCAAUCAAAUACGGGAUAUGAUGAUGAAUGAGGUUGGUCGUCCAUUUAAAAAUGAAGCUUGUAGGUGGUAUAAUGAAAAUUAUCCUACUGUGAAGUAUGAUUGUAUUUUACGCAAAUUUUCAAAAUAAAUACUUACCUACAAUAAACCCAAGGCUCUAAACUAUUACAAUGUUUUGUUUCUUUUAACUAAUUUUUAUUUCCUGUAAGUACUGUAAGUCUACUAAUGUUACAAAAGAAAUAAAUUUCAUUUAUUUACUAGCUAACCCCGCAAACGUUGUUUUACCAUAAAUAGUAUUAACGCCUUUACCCCCCCCCCCCCCCGCGCCUUAUAACUUAGGGCUAUGAAAAUAGAUGUUGGCCGAUUCUCAAACAUACCCGAUAUACAUACAUAAUUUAAUAAAAAUCGGUCUAGCCGUUUCGGAAAAGUAUGGUAACUAACAUUGUGACACGAGAAUUUUUAUAUAUAAGAUUUAAACUAAAAUACAGGUGUAUUCGAAAAUAAAAGUUUACUAAAAAAUUAACUGAGUUCAUAAUUUAUCUCCGAUUCUUAAGUAAAAGUAAAACAUUGUAGUUGCUAUGUAUUCCGAAUCUUUACAUGUGAUAU